GAUGAACGCUGGCGGCGUGCCUAAUACAUGCAAGUCGAGCGAACAGACUAGGAGCUUGUUCUUCUGACGAUAGCGGCGCACGUGGGUGUCACACGUGGAUUACAUCCCUUUACGUCUGGGAUAACUUCGGGAAACCGGCGCAAAUACCGGAUAAUCUAUUGAAACGCAUGGUUCAAUAGUGAAAGACGGUUUUGCUGUCACUCUUAGAUGGUACCGGGCCGCAUUAGCUAGUUUGUAAGGUAACGGCUUACCAAGGCAACCAUCCGUAGCCGACCGGGGAGGGUGAUCGGCCGCACUAGAGCUGAGACACAGUCCAGGCUCCUACGGGAGGCACCAGCAGGGAAUCUUCGGCAAUGGGCGGAUGCCUGCCGGAGCACCCUGGCGCGGGGGAUGGGGCACUUGGGAGCGUAGAUCGCUGUAAUGAGGCAAGGACGAAGGUGACAGAAUCUUGGCUGCCCGUGACGGUACCUUACUAGAAAGCCUCGCCUAACUACGUG
This 497-nucleotide ribosomal RNA is filed under the name uncultured bacterium. RNAcentral's name for it is "partial 16S ribosomal RNA". It matches the Rfam family "Bacterial small subunit ribosomal RNA", at positions 28 to 507 of the family's 1533-position model. The record is from RNAcentral.